AGAGUUUGAUCCUGGCUCAGAAUCAACGCUGGCGGCGUGCCUAACACAUGCAAGUCGAACGAGAAAGUGGAGCAAUCCAUGAGUAAAGUGGCGCACGGGUGAGUAACACGUGACUAACCUACCCUUGAGUGGGGAAUAACUUCGGGAAACCGAGGCUAAUACCGCAUAACACCUACGGGUCAAAGGAGCAAUUCGCUUAAGGAGGGGGUCGCGGCAGAUUAGUUAGUUGGCGGGGUAAUGGCCCACCAAGACGGUGAUCUGUAUCCGGCCUGAGAGGGCGCACGGACACACUGGAACUGAAACACGGUCCAGACUCCUACGGGAGGCAGCAGUGGGGAAUUUUGCGCAAUGGGGGAAACCCUGACGCAGCAACGCCGCGUGGAGGAUGAAGUCCCUUGGGACGUAAACUCCUUUCGAUCGGGACGAUUAUGACGGUACCGGAAGAAGAAGCCCCGGCUAACUUCGUGCCAGCAGCCGCGGUAAUACGAGGGGGGCGAGCGUUGUUCGGAAUUAUUGGGCGUAAAGGGCGCGUAGGCGGUCGGAUAAGUCUUGUGUGAAAUCUUCGGGCUCAACUCGAAGUCUGCACAGGAAACUAUCUGGCUUGAGUGUGGGAGAGGUGAGUGGAAUUCCUGGUGUAGCGGUGAAAUGCGUAGAUAUCAGGAGGAACACCUGUGGCGAAAGCGGCUCACUGGACCACAACUGACGCUGAGGCGCGAAAGCUAGGGGAGCAAACAGGAUUAGAUACCCUGGUAGUCCUAGCCCUAAACGAUGAUUGCUUGGUGUGACGGGUACCCAAUCCC
This 800-nucleotide ribosomal RNA is filed under the name uncultured bacterium. RNAcentral describes it as "bacterial SSU rRNA". It matches the Rfam family "Bacterial small subunit ribosomal RNA", at positions 8 to 839 of the family's 1533-position model. The record is from RNAcentral.